Molecule: long non-coding RNA, 434 nt
Organism: Orcinus orca (killer whale)
Lineage: Eukaryota; Metazoa; Chordata; Mammalia; Artiodactyla; Delphinidae
Exons: 3
Source: RefSeq, a predicted model, not a curated record
UCUCUGAAUCUUAGUUAGUCCCGAAGUCUGAACCUUCAGAGAUCUGUCCAGUGCAACUUCUACCCGGCAUCUUGCAGACUGAGGGAAAAAAAUGUUUUCUACAAUGAAUCAACUAAGUGUAGUAAUGGCGUUAUUACGUUUUGCUUCCGGAAAAAUAGUCCAAGGAACUAUGUAGAAGAUAAAUUGGAUUGUGUCAAGAGUUGAGUUAAACUACUCCAUGGUAUUACUGCUUUGGUGUCCAUUUUGUUUGGCCAAGAAACCUGCAGUGACUUUAAACUGACACUAGCCCCCUCAUUCAAGCACAUGCCCUAAACAGCAGCCUGCAGAGUCACAAGCAAAUGAGAUAGUGUCGGGGAAGCUGCUGCCAGCAGAGGAGGCCAAAACAAAAGCACGAGCCUACACUGAUGCACUGAAAAUGACAAAUUCACCAAAAC